AAAUUGAAGAGUUUGAUCAUGGCUCAGAUUGAAUGCUGGCGGCAGGCCUAACACAUGCAAGUCGAACGGUAACAGGAAACAGCUUGCUGUUUCGCUGACGAGUGGCGGACGGGUGAGUAAUGUCUGGGAAACUGCCUGAUGGAGGGGGAUAACUACUGGAAACGGUAGCUAAUACCGCAUAACGUCGCAAGACCAAAGAGGGGGACCUUCGGGCCUCUUGCCAUCGGAUGUGCCCAGAUGGGAUUAGCUAGUAGGUGGGGUAACGGCUCACCUAGGCGACGAUCCCUAGCUGGUCUGAGAGGAUGACCAGCCACACUGGAACUGAGACACGGUCCAGACUCCUACGGGAGGCAGCAGUGGGGAAUAUUGCACAAUGGGCGCAAGCCUGAUGCAG
Molecule: ribosomal RNA, 394 nt
Filed under: Escherichia coli
Lineage: Bacteria; Pseudomonadati; Pseudomonadota; Gammaproteobacteria; Enterobacterales; Enterobacteriaceae
Description: bacterial SSU rRNA
Rfam family: Bacterial small subunit ribosomal RNA
Source: RNAcentral